AUGGUACUCCCUUUAUCCGGAAAUACAUGUUGGAGGAAAGGAUGUAUCUAGACAUAUUUUAAUGUUAGAUAAAUCCAUUUUUAAUCAUUUCUACGACAAGUAUUUUCGGACGGAGGGAGUAUUCU
Non-coding RNA from Triticum aestivum (bread wheat), 125 nucleotides. The record is from Rfam. NCBI's taxonomy places the organism in Eukaryota, Viridiplantae, Streptophyta, Magnoliopsida, Poales, Poaceae.